Molecule: transfer RNA, 62 nt
Filed under: Tettigades sarcinatrix
Lineage: Eukaryota; Metazoa; Arthropoda; Insecta; Hemiptera; Cicadidae
Description: tRNA-Asp
Source: RNAcentral
GAGAAAUUAUUUUAAUUAAAAUAUGAAUCUGUCAGAUUCAAGUUAUCAAGAGAUAUUUCUUC